UAGAUCAUCAAUAGUGCUAUAUCC
RNAcentral lists this non-coding RNA (24 nucleotides) under Arabidopsis thaliana (thale cress). Lineage: Eukaryota; Viridiplantae; Streptophyta; Magnoliopsida; Brassicales; Brassicaceae. The record is from RNAcentral.